GUGCUCACUUUGGCAGCACAUUUAAAAUUGGAACGAUAGAAGAUGACCCCUGUGCAAGGAUAACAUGCACAUUUGUGAAGUGUUCCAUAUUUUU
RNAcentral lists this small nuclear RNA (94 nucleotides) under Sus scrofa (pig). The record is from RNAcentral. Lineage: Eukaryota; Metazoa; Chordata; Mammalia; Artiodactyla; Suidae.